AGUCCAUUGGCAUGUCAUUCGGAGAAGUUGAAGCCUUAGACGCAAAUAUUGGCCGCAAUAGUGAGAUCCGAAACAGUAUCCGAUCAACAGAUGCCGAUCCCGCUCAGACACACAGCAUACCCAAACAAUUACAGGGCAGGCUAUAUUUUUUUCUACAUAGUGGCAGCAGCUGUCCGAGUAAAUGCAAUCAUUGUCGGGAACAGGAAGGUCCCUGAUUUCUGUGCAGACUCGUAGAGAAAACCAUAUCUGAAUUUCAACCUGAUAACACAUUGGUGCUUGCCAUAGCAGCUGAUGAUGUGGUUAAUCACCAAAUCAUGUACAGCAUCAUUGCCAGCACCUCCAGAACAUUCUUCUCCAACGUUAACCCCACCAACGGUGAGAUCAGGGUCAAAGGAGAUCUUUUCCAGACCGGUGUCUCCGUGUUUGAGAUAACCAUUCAUGCCAGAGACAACCCCGGCUCCAAUGCAGUUUCCCGGUUCGACAUGGCCAUUGUGACGAUCACAGUGACGAGGCCAGUGUUCACAUCUGCCACCUACAACGCCACCAUCUCAG
Mya arenaria is the source of this 552-nucleotide long non-coding RNA. RefSeq lists it as uncharacterized. The record is from RefSeq and is a predicted model, not a curated record. The transcript has 5 exons. Lineage: Eukaryota; Metazoa; Mollusca; Bivalvia; Myida; Myidae.